GAGAUGUAGUCCUCCCGGGCCUCACCUUACUACAAGAGAUGAGGGGAGCCCGCACUUUAGUCCUUCCCCCCCCACCCCUCCGCAACCAUCGGACCUGAUGCGGACGGCGACCCCACUGCUUACCUAGCUAAGCAGCACUGCAGCACCUUUCUCAACUGGAGGGCGGGCCUUUAGUCUCAGUUCGUUCCGCCUGAUUCGCUGAGGUGGAACGCCUUCUUUUCUGAUUGGUGGAGUGCCCUAUUCAUCAUAAUGAAGAGGCUAGGGCUGGAGUUGCCAUGGGAGCGAGGGACGCGUAACCACCACAAAGGCGGAGGGAUACGAGCUUCACAAUCACUGACUCUCCUCGCUCUCAGCUCGGGCCGGCCUGAUUUAAUAACGUCCCCUGAGGCAAGGAGGGGAAGUUUGGAUGAAGACUGGCUCUUAAGGGUUUACUGUCCAGGAUCCCAAAGCAUAUAUGAUGUGCAAACUCCAGAACAGCCUGUCCAGGGAAUCUCACCAUCAGUGUCCGAGAAGAUCAGAACAAUAAGUACUCUGUGCAAAAGAAAAUCUUCAAAAGAUUGGCUAAUGCAGGAGCCCUCAACUACUUUGCAGCCCUGUUCAGGAGCACCUAACAUGCGUGAUUCAGACAGCCGCUGGCUACUAAAGCUGAAAUGUCCAAGGUCCCAGACAGAGUAUGACCUGCAGACUCCAGAACAGAGGGCCACCUCAUCCCUGGCUAGGAGCAGAUCCCCAAGAACUUUUGUCAGAAGUGCUUCUGAGAGGAAAAAAGCUUGCGAAGAUUGGUUAACGCAGAAGCGUUUUUCUCAAGUGCAGGCAGUAUCUAAUGAAGGCCAAGAUAUUAUUGCUGCUACCCAGUCCAUCUUGGACAGAGAAAAUUAUUUUGUAAAGGAGGUGGACAAGUAUUUGAAACACAGAGAUUUCUUAGAGCUGAGAAAGAAGGAGAUCCAGUACAAGAAAUGGCUGGAGUGUGUUUCAGAGCCGUUGCUGCAGAAAAUUGAGGACAAAGUUGACAGCCAGUCAAGUGAAGAAAUAGAGGAAAGGAAACGAAAGCAGCUCUCUCUAUAUUUGAACUACUGUAAUAAGAAGUCUUUCCCUUCUCCUGGCCCCCCUGCUGCCCCACCUCACUGCCCCUCUGUCAUCAACCCAAUGCCUCUCUCCAUCUCCAUCCAUCUCCCUCCAUUCUCCCACUUCUUCCUCCAGGCUUCCCCGCCCUCUCGGACCCCACGCAUGCUUCCUCUCUUCCCUUUCACUCUUCUAUCACUCUCCUCUUCCCCCCCACCACUUGUCCCCGCCUCUUGCCCGUUCCAUCCCUCUGUUCUCCCUCCUUUCUAUCAGUCGCUCGCUCCCUUCCCCCCUUUCAUCCAGCCUCCCCCUCUCUUCCUCCGGUCUCUCCCCUCCCUGACCUUCCAAGUGCCCCCAUCUCAGUCUUUCCCUCUCCCCAGAUCUCUGCCAGCUCUCUCCCCACAGCUUUGCUCCUCCCUCCCCCCUCUGACUCUGCCAACAUUUCCCCCUCUCCCUGUCCCUCCAUUGGUUCUCCAAUCUCCACCUCUCCUUCCCCCCAUCCCAUCCCGCCAGCCAGCCUUCCUCUGACUCCCCACUCUUUCACCUCCCCCCUCCCUGCCAGUCCCACAGCCAAAGCCAUGGGUAGCGGAUGAAUGGCGACAUGGCCAGUCAUGGCCCGAAGAUAGAAGCAGCUCUGCUUCCAUCAGGCCACAGUUGGCUGAAGACAAGGGUCUGCUCAGCUGCACCAGGCCGGUAUCGGGGGCUCCGUUUUUUCAAACCUCUCAGCUCUUCAGCAGCGGUGGAUGUCACUUCCAUCUCCGGCUGGACUGCUGAGUUAGGCCUGGGGGGAGGGGAGCUCUGCUGCACUUCACAACAGCGUGGCAGGGACAUGGAGGGGCUUGUGCACCAAUGCUUUAGAGAGUAGCAGAGACGUCAUAAACUAUGCCUGUGCUUCCACGUGGGAUUAGCCAUUAAGACUGUAAGCUCUCCAGGGCAGGGACAUCACUGGGUACGUGUUUGUACAGCACCUAGCACAAUGCUGAGCCUGAUCUGAGGUCUCCAUGCACCACUAUGAUAUCAAUAUUAAAUACAAAGCAAGGGAUGGCAUGAAACUGCUGCUGAGGAGUUAGAGCUGCAUCAAUAACAGACUCCUCCAGCCACAGGACACUGUAAAUGUACAUGUAACCUGUGCUAGCUAGGCCUCAGCAUUGCUACACUCCAGCCACUGCACCAUGACCUGAGCUGUUGCUUGCUUCCCACACAGGGCAAGGUGGCUUUGGAAGAUUAUGAUGCUUCAGAGUAUGACCCUCUCUUCCUGAAUACACAUCCCACCUAUUUGAAGGUGGCAACUCCACCUUUACACGAUCCGCUGUUAAAAGAGGUACAAGGAAGAUUUCUUGAGGGCGGGCUUAUCCAGCAAUGUGAGACAGG
RNA transcript from Chelonia mydas (Green sea turtle), 2433 nucleotides. It is a transcript of the gene named family with sequence similarity 228 member B, with no coding region annotated. The record is from RefSeq and is a predicted model, not a curated record. The transcript is spliced from 9 exons. NCBI's taxonomy places the organism in Eukaryota, Metazoa, Chordata, Testudines, Cheloniidae.